This is a long non-coding RNA of Betta splendens (Siamese fighting fish), 1293 nucleotides long. RefSeq lists it as uncharacterized. NCBI's taxonomy places the organism in Eukaryota, Metazoa, Chordata, Actinopteri, Anabantiformes, Osphronemidae. The record is from RefSeq and is a predicted model, not a curated record. The transcript is spliced from 3 exons.
GAGUGUCAGUCUUUUGUACCGAUUAGUGACGGUAAACAACUACGAACUAUCAAGUUUUAGAGGCGGGAACAGAGACGGAGUGACGACAUUCAGGACGAUGAGAAAACGGAAGACGACAGCGAGUGGGAAGAGUUAGCAAACAUAAGAGACGCGGGAGGGAUGGAGUAAUGGACGGCGAGAAGCCACGGGGACGGGCGAAAAUGCUCCGUGUCCUGGGCGACUCCGCUCUUCUGAGGGAUUACAAAGGGUUUAACUGGCGGAUGAAGCCGAGCAAAGUGAAAAUGACACUUUCCGCUGGGACGAGUGAGGUUUGGCCGAGCUUCAGACGCAGAUCGCAGCGAGCAGGUUGGCAGCAGCGAUCGGCCGGUUCACCAGCGCAGGGAACGCUGGGAGUCACGGGCUGUGAUUGGUGGCCCGAAACAGUCCAGGUGGAACCGGGCCGGCCGCUGCUUUUCACUUACUUACGAGCUCUGUUUCCACAAGCGUGAAGGGAGUGACAGGAAACAGGAAGCAAAUGAGCUAUAAUAUCCCUAAUGAAAACAUGCUCUACUGGAAUUCUGUUUUUUACAUUUUUAAUGUGCAUAUGCCCAUGAAUUUAGAUGGAUGAUGAUGAUGAUGAAGAAAAAAAUCAACAUCUUAGAAAAACGAAAUUUGUCAUUUGUCAAAAUGCACUGUAUGUUCUAUAAACAGUGCAUAUAGUAUUUACACACUAGCUAGUUUUCACACUUAUGACAUGAAAUCAGGUCUACAGACUAGAAGAAAACAUUAUAACUUGUUUCCUUUACAGAUAACAAAUCUUUCUCUCCUAUUACCGGUCCAUAUUUGUCUGCUCAUGGCAGGUUCAGAAAUAAAAGGUGUGGGAGGUUUGUGUUGUAUCUGAAGACAAGUCUAAUAUUGUUUCUUCUCAUGCAUAUAGAGCAUCUCUGCUCCUCCUCAUACACUCAUGUUUCCAGCAGGACUAAGACAAUGCAGGAAAACAUAUGUGACAUGCCGAGCAAUUUGCUUUGAUAAGCAAUCAGUGUCUGGUAUAUGUCUGUCUGUGGAACGAGACACUGCUUCAGAGUGGAUUCGCUCCCAAAUGCAAAACGAUCUUUUCAUCAUGUCGGUGAAAACACACAAAAAAGAAAACACAGGCAGCAAUGAGAGACGCCGCACUUCUCACAACACUGAAGUUCAGCCCAGUCGCACUGAACUCCUGAUAAAGUACGUGGUGUCCAUGAAAUGUUUUGACACAGACACAUGCAGCUCAUUGGUAAAUAACUUGAUUAAGAAAAAAUGAUUUGUGGUUCCACA